GAGGAAUCUGCCUUCUACACUGGGAUAACUCCGGGAAACCGGGGCUAAUACCGGAUAUGAAACUUGGUGGCAUCACCGAGUUUGGAAAGUUUUUCGGUAGAAGAUGACCUCGCGGCCUAUCAGCUUGUUGGUGAGGUAAUGGCUCACCAAGGCGACGACGGGUAGCCGGCCUGAGAGGGCGACCGGCCACACUGGGACUGAGACACGGCCCAGACUCCUACGGGAGGCAGCAGUGGGGAAUAUUGGGCAAUGGAGGAAACUCUGACCCAGCGACGCCGCGUGCGGGAUGAAGGCCUUCGGGUUGUAAACCGCUUUCAGUAGGGAAGAAGCGAAAGUGACGGUACCUACAGAAGAAGCACCGGCUAACUAUGUGCCAGCAGCCGCGGUAAUACAUAGGGUGCAAGCGUUGUCCGGAAUUAUUGGGCGUAAAGAGCUCGUAGGUGGUUCGUUACGUCGGAUGUGAAAAUCUGGGGCUCAACCCCAGACCUGCAUCCGAUACGGUCGAGCUAGAGUUUGGUAGGGGAGACUGGAAUUCCUGGUGUAGCGGUGGAAUGCGCAGAUAUCAGGAGGAACACCAAUGGCGAAGGCAGGUCUCUGGGCCAAUACUGACACUGAGGAGCGAAAGCGUGGGGAGCGAACAGGAUUAGAUACCCUGGUAGUCCACGCCGU
This 669-nucleotide ribosomal RNA is filed under the name uncultured Actinomycetales bacterium. RNAcentral's name for it is "bacterial SSU rRNA". It matches the Rfam family "Bacterial small subunit ribosomal RNA", at positions 119 to 803 of the family's 1533-position model. Lineage: Bacteria; Bacillati; Actinomycetota; Actinomycetes; Actinomycetales. The record is from RNAcentral.